UACGGAGGGGGCUAGCGUUGUUCGGAAUCACUGGGCGUAAAGCGCACGUAGGCGGCCUGAUAAGUCGGGUGUGAAAGCCCUGGGCUCAACCCAGGAAGUGCACUCGAAACUGUCAGGCUUGAAUAUGGAAGAGGGUCGCGGAAUUCCCGGUGUAGAGGUGAAAUUCGUAGAUAUCGGGAGGAACACCAGUGGCGAAGGCGGCGCCUGGGACGGUACUGACGCUGAGACGCGAAAGCGUGGGGAGCG
This 246-nucleotide ribosomal RNA is filed under the name uncultured bacterium. RNAcentral describes it as "partial 16S ribosomal RNA". It matches the Rfam family "Bacterial small subunit ribosomal RNA", at positions 524 to 770 of the family's 1533-position model. The record is from RNAcentral.